UAAUAAGAAGCAAAAUAUUGCAUUUAGUUUCGACCUAAAAUUUUGAUUUAAAAUCCUUAUUUU
Molecule: transfer RNA, 63 nt
Filed under: Suinzona borowieci
Lineage: Eukaryota; Metazoa; Arthropoda; Insecta; Coleoptera; Chrysomelidae
Description: tRNA-Arg
Source: RNAcentral